RNAcentral lists this ribosomal RNA (485 nucleotides) under uncultured bacterium. RNAcentral describes it as "partial 16S ribosomal RNA". It matches the Rfam family "Bacterial small subunit ribosomal RNA", at positions 30 to 507 of the family's 1533-position model. The record is from RNAcentral.
AUUGAACGCUGGCGGCAUGCCUUACACAUGCAAGUCGAACGGCAGCACGGGUGCUUGCACCUGGUGGCGAGUGGCGAACGGGUGAGUAAUACAUCGGAACGUACCUUAUCGUGGGGGAUAACGCAGCGAAAGUUGCGCUAAUACCGCAUACGCCCUGAGGGGGAAAGCGGGGGACCGUAAGGCCUCGCGCGAUUAGAGCGGCCGAUGUCUGAUUAGCUUGUUGGUGAGGUAAAAGCUCACCAAGGCGAUGAUCAGUAGCUGGUCUGAGAGGACGAUCAGCCACACUGGGACUGAGACACGGCCCAGACUCCUACGGGAGGCAGCAGUGGGGAAUUUUGGACAAUGGGGGCAACCCUGAUCCAGCAAUGCCGCGUGAGUGAAGAAGGCCUUCGGGUUGUAAAGCACUUUUGUCAGGGAAGAAACAGCAGCUCUAACACAGUCUGCGAAUGACGGUACCUGAAGAAUAAGCACCGGCUAACUACGUG